Small nucleolar RNA from Sorex araneus (European shrew), 127 nucleotides. The record is from Ensembl. NCBI's taxonomy places the organism in Eukaryota, Metazoa, Chordata, Mammalia, Eulipotyphla, Soricidae.
GUGGUGUGCUCAGAGCAGGGGGCCUAAAGAAAUGGCUCCUCUGUUUAUUACACACCAAACAGGAAUCUGGGUUUCCUGAUGAGGGUCACAAAACUUGUGACUUUCCUAUGAACAAUACCCUACAGAU